This 253-nucleotide ribosomal RNA is filed under the name uncultured bacterium. Its description in RNAcentral is "partial 16S ribosomal RNA". It matches the Rfam family "Bacterial small subunit ribosomal RNA", at positions 524 to 776 of the family's 1533-position model. The record is from RNAcentral.
UACAGGGGGGGCAAGCGUUGUUCGGAAUUACUGGGCGUAAAGGGCCAGUAGGCGGCCAACUAAGUCCGACGUGAAAUCCCCAAGCUUAACUUGGGAACUGCGUCGGAUACUGGAUGGCUUGAAUUCGGGAGAGGGAUGCAGAAUUCCAGGUGUAGCGGUGAAAUGCGUAGAUAUCUGGAGGAAUACCGGUGGCGAAGGCGGCAUCCUGGACCGACAUUGACGCUGAAAGGCGAAGGCUAGGGGAGCAAACGGG